Molecule: ribosomal RNA, 420 nt
Filed under: uncultured bacterium
Lineage: Bacteria
Description: partial 16S ribosomal RNA
Rfam family: Bacterial small subunit ribosomal RNA
Source: RNAcentral
AUGCAGUCGAACGCGAAAGUUCCCCUCNGGGGCAGCGAGUAGAGUGGCGCACGNCCCUUNAAAGNNGUAGGUAAUUUGCCUUUGGGUGGGGAAUAACNCNUNGAAACUUGAGCUAAUACCGCAUAAUGCAGCGGCACCGCAAGGUGACAGUUGUUAAAGGAGCAAUCCGCCUAAAGAGGAGCCUGCGGCAGAUUAGGUAGNUGGUAAGGUAAUGGCUUACCAAGCCUGCGAUCUGNAGCCGACCUGAGAGGGUGGUCGGUCACACUGACACUGAAUAACGGGUCAGACUCCUACGGGAGGCNGCAGUCGGGAAUUUUGGGCAAUGGGCNAAAGCCUGACCCNNCAACGCCGCGUGAAGGACGAAAUCUUCCGGGAUGUAAACUUNGUAAGAAUNGGGNAAGAAUANAUGAUNGUACUAUC